UACGAAGGGGGCUAGCGUUGUUCGGAAUUACUGGGCGUAAAGCGCACGUAGGCGGCUUUGUAAGUUAGAGGUGAAAGCCUGGAGCUCAACUCCAGAAUUGCCUUUAAGACUGCAUCGCUUGAAUCCAGGAGAGGUGAGUGGAAUUCCGAGUGUAGAGGUGAAAUUCGUAGAUAUUCGGAAGAACACCAGUGGCGAAGGCGGCUCACUGGACUGGUAUUGACGCUGAGGUGCGAAAGCGUGGGGAGCAAACAGG
RNAcentral lists this ribosomal RNA (253 nucleotides) under uncultured bacterium. Its description in RNAcentral is "partial 16S ribosomal RNA". It matches the Rfam family "Bacterial small subunit ribosomal RNA", at positions 524 to 776 of the family's 1533-position model. The record is from RNAcentral.